RNAcentral lists this ribosomal RNA (253 nucleotides) under uncultured bacterium. Its description in RNAcentral is "partial 16S ribosomal RNA". It matches the Rfam family "Bacterial small subunit ribosomal RNA", at positions 524 to 776 of the family's 1533-position model. The record is from RNAcentral.
GACGUAGGGUGCAAGCGUUGUCCGGAUUUAUUGGGCGUAAAGAGCUCGUAGGCGGCUUGUUGCGUCGACUGUGAAAACCCGCGGCUUAACCGCGGGCUUGCAGUUGAUACGGGCAGGCUAGAGUUCGGUAGGGGAGACUGGAAUUCCUGGUGUAGCGGUGAAAUUCGUAGAUAUCUGGAGGAACACCGGUGGCGAAGGCGGCAUCCUGGACCAACACUGACGCUGAGGAGCGAAAGCCAGGGGAGCAAACGGG